RNAcentral lists this long non-coding RNA (334 nucleotides) under Rosa chinensis. RNAcentral describes it as "sRNA RchiOBHm_Chr4g0401221". The record is from RNAcentral. Lineage: Eukaryota; Viridiplantae; Streptophyta; Magnoliopsida; Rosales; Rosaceae.
GCGGUAAGCCGCCGCUACCGCCGCCCACAGUGGCGGCGCCGCCGCCACCGCCACCAUCUCCGAUGGCCACCAAAAUUUGGCAGUAGCACCUUCUCAACACACCCAUUAAUUCUUUCAACUGUGACCAAGUUAGAAAAUCAGCGGAAGUACCUCAACAAUUAAAGAGAAGUUUGGACCCGAAUCGUGAAUAGUAACUCAGAAUUUCAAACCUUCGAUUCGACCUCCACACUGCAAAUCGUGGCUCAAGGCUAGGGGCAACAUGAUCCUUGGGAAAAACCGCUCCUUCGACGCCGGUUUGGUGGCCGGAGAUGGCCGGAAUCGCCGGAAAUCGACG